AAUCGGGUGGUGUAGUGGUCAAGCACACCUGAACGCUGUACUAUGUAUGGUAUGUGUACUAGGGAGACGCAGGUUCAAAUCCUGUCUCGAUUG
Xylaria castorea is the source of this 93-nucleotide non-coding RNA. The record is from the annotation of a GenBank genome assembly. Lineage: Eukaryota; Fungi; Ascomycota; Sordariomycetes; Xylariales; Xylariaceae.